Long non-coding RNA from Homo sapiens (human), 2199 nucleotides. Ensembl annotates it as MFF divergent transcript. Its record names the gene MFF-DT. Lineage: Eukaryota; Metazoa; Chordata; Mammalia; Primates; Hominidae. The record is from Ensembl.
GACGCGGAAAAGGGCGGACGCGUGGCCCACGCACUGGAACGGCUCCACGAGUCUGUCACCCAGGUUGGAGUGCGGUGGUGUGAUCUUGGCUCCCUGCAACCUCCACCUCCCAGGUUCAAGCGAUUCUCCUGCCUCAGCCUCCCAAGUAGCUGCGAUUACAGGCACCCACCACCAUGAAGAAUGGCAUUUUUAAAAGAUGGCUUUCUUAAAAAAGGAUACUCAGUUGCUCUUCUACUCAUACCAAGUCCUGCAGACACAUUCUGGGACUGCACCUUAUGAGUGCUGCUCACUCUGUUUCCUGCAGAAGACAUACAGAGCCGUUCGCAUAGAGUAGGGCCAUGAUUUUGAUUCAGCAAUUCUUCAAACCACUGAUGCUGGUUGACCAUUUGACUUUGUUUUUGAAGUAUUUUUUACAUACAGUGUACAGAACAUUUCCGCUGGAUAUUUGGAUACUGAACAGGAGUAACAAGAGGAACAGCUCCUACCUCCCCCCUGCCCCUUCCCUCACAAGCCUGUGAGUCAGGGCAGGGGCAGCCACUGAAAGUAGCAGAGGCCUUCAUAAAGGAGAACACUUCUCCAUGUUGCCAUCAUGUGAAGAAGGACAUGUUUGCUUCUGCUUCUGCCACGAGUGUUGAAGGCAAUGGUGAUGAAAGUAAAUAUUUAAAAACACUACCAUAGCUGUCCCAAAUUUCAGAAAAACAAGGUACCACUGGAACCAUUUAAUUUUGUUGGAACACAGAAUGACCAUCUUGUGAUCAGUUUUCUGCAUCUUUAAAAUACCUGGAAGGUCAUCUUUAAAUAGUACAAUCUGAUAAAAGUUUAAUACUUAGUGUAGACUUAUAUGAAUACUUCUACAUUCAUACAUUUUUGUAUACUUAUACAUUUUCAUACUCAAUUAAUGCUUAAUUCAAAAAAUAUCUGAGUACCUGCAGUGUUCCCCAUGCUACAUACUGGGCUUAAACAGCCAAAAAGACACAGUCUUUGACCUCAAAAUACUUUGAUUCUUGUAAGAAAAACUGACAAAGACAAAGAGAAGGCAAUGUGAAAACUUCUACAGUUGGGAUAACCUUGGAGGUUACAGGAUGUGGACUCACUGAAAGCUUUCUGCUGGACUUGAACUUGAAGCUGAAGUCUGAAGGACAGAUGGGUGUUGCUUAGCGAAGGGAAAGUAGGAAGCAAAGACCCCUGGACAGAGUGUAGCAGGCACAGAGGGAGCAUGACACCUUCGGGAGAGAGCCGCAAGCACCUGGGCCCAGAUCCCAGCUUUAGCUUCAUUAGCCCUGUGAACUCUGUAUGUCAGCCUUGACAUAGAAAAAAAGAGGAUACUAAACCUCCAUCUUAAAAGAGACUUGGAAGAAGCUGGGAUUAUAGGCACACCACCACACCUGGCCCCAGAAAAGGGAAUCCUUGACCUGCAAGAAUCGAGGAAUAUUGUUUCUGACAUGCUCAGUGGACCUACUGCUGGUGUUCUUAACCAUUUCCUUCCUAAGUGGAACUUCUUUUGAGGUUAGUAGAAGCUGCAAACAGAAUUAUAUGGAAUUGAAUAUAAGAAAAUAUACAGUGAAGAGUGCUAAGAAUUCCUCUGAAAUGUAAUGAAAAGGUAGAUUUCAUUUAGCAUUCAGUAUAUUUAUCUUGAAGGAAAAAAGGUGGAAAUAUCAAAGGUUUGAAAAAAAAAAAACCUCUUUGCUUUUUCAUAUGCUAGAUGGAUCAAUUACUUUGUUGACUUAUUUAACAAGAGUCUUGUGGUUAAGCAAUAUAUAUAAAAUCACAAAAGUAUUAUAUUAAUAAUAUAACAUAAUAAUGUCCACCAUGAAAUCUGUAAUGAUAUGCGUGCACCUACCAAGUGUUGGGCACAGUGCUAAGUGAUUUCACAAAAUACUUAUUUAAUCUUCCUGGCAACUCCACUAAAGUAUUUAGGAACUGCUAUAGUUUGAAUGUGCUCCCUCCAAAAUUCAGGUGUUAUCAAUGUGAUAGAAGUAAGAGGUAGGGUCUGUAGGAGGUGAUUAGGCCAUGAGUGUUUCUCUCUCAUUAAUGGGAUUAAGGCCCUAUUAAAAGAGGCUUUGAGCAGCCUCAGGUCAGCUUGCCCUUCUGCUUUCUGCCAUGUGAGGAUGCAGCCAAAAAAGCCCUCACCAGACCAAGGGUCAGCAUCUUGAUUUUGGACUUCCCAGCCUCUAGAACUGUGAAAAUAAAUUUCUGUUC